UUUAUUUGUAUUAGACGCAAUAAAAAGAUUAAAUUAGUAAAAUAUUUAUAACGUCAAAUUAAAGAGCGCUUAUAUACAUAUUUAUAUGUGUAUUACACAUUGAGUGUGUGUAUGCCAAUCCAAUUCAGGUUGAUAUCUCGUUAACUUGACGAGCGAAUGUUUGCUCAAUACUAAAUUUAUUGUUUCAAAUGCAUGUACACACAUACACACGAUGUAUGUUAUGUGUACGUACAUAUGCAUUCUUAUGUAAACAAUUUUAAGUUGUAAAUCGCAAUUUCGUUUGUUAUGUGUUAAUAACAAGUAAUUUCGAACUUACUGAUAACUUUCACGGAAGUAAUAUGUCAGUGGUUAUUAUUUGAUGCGACUGUAGGGAUAAUGUCGAUAUAGUUUCAAUGAUAUUAAGUCAAGUAUAAAUGAGCGUUAAUUUGAAAACUUAAGAAGGAGUAAAGUUUAAAAUUUUUUUCCAUAUUUAUAUAUAUAUAUAUAUAUAUAUAUGUCAAAUCCAAAUUCCUUUUCCUCCAACUCCCACUUUCAGAGUCGGCAGCCCUCAAAACUUCAGAUCCUUUUGAAAUUUUGUACGCAAAAAAAAAGUUUUUAUACAUUUGCCAAAUUUCAUAUCAUAGAGCACUUAUUUGAGCAAAUGCUAUAUUCGAAAGCGAGCAUUUGCUUGGAUUUGUGUGAAUAAAAAGCUUAAAUCCAAACACCAAUAAAAAUGAAUUUUGAAAUAAUACUGCCGCUGAUGGUUGAAAACGAAGCUCCAGAGAUAAAGGAUUACAAAUUAACAACAGUUGGAGGCGAUACAAAUUUUAAGCACUUAUGUGUACGAUUUACCCGUCAAAAUGUGGAUUUUUUGCCUGCAUAUUCGGAAGGAGUAUAUUUUACGCUAUAUAGACGAUUCAGGUCGUCAGUAUACUUAAAGGUACAAAUGUUAAGGUUGGUAUAUGUAAAGAUAUCGGAAUACAUCAAACUACCGUUUGCGUAAACAAUUAGUGAGUGUGCCACAAACUAGUCGAGAAAGCGGCGGAAUGGAUUAUUUUGCCUUCUGAUCAAUAAGAAAUGGAAUACCCAAAAAACUGUGAUAAAAGCAUUUCACAUUUCCCUGUGUAAUUGAUGCAAUUGCUGCACUCAUAUUUUAAUUAAAAAGCGUAAAUGGAGAAAUUGAAAUAUUCAAGCUAUUGCUUUCCUUUAACACCAAUGCUGGUGAUAUCGUUUAAUCGACAGUUUGUGUGGUAAAUUAAAACAAAGGUUCCCGAUUUUGCAGUAAAAAUUCACGUGGCCAUGGAGAGAAUUCCAUCUAGAAUUGUUGUUUGUAAUUCAUAACAUUGUUAACUUAUUGAAAGAUGCAGAUUUUGAGCCGUUAGGUGAAAUUAAAGAGUUUAGAGUGCCCGAAAUAGAUAUGACCAAUAAUUCAAAUUAUAAACGUGAGCAAAAACGAAGAAGAUAUAUUGCUAACUAUUUAUUUGCACAGUAUAUCCAAAUAAAAAACUUUGUAUUUUGUAUCCAAUAAAAUUAUCGUUUAUUGCAUGAAAGGAAGAAACUGUUAUUAAUUUUUACCCAAAUUUUAUUUUCAUUAUUGAACGAUAACAAUUUGAACUAUAUUUUAUAAACCGCAUUUUUCUGUAAUGCUCUACUUGUAGGCGUUGCUCUUGUGCAGAAAGCAUUCUCUUCUGCACAUUUAAAAGUUCUUUUUGAUUUUGUAAAAAAAAAUCUAUUAAUUUGAUUAUGAAAAUUAAUACAUUUUAAAUGUUUUGCCGUUUUUGUUUUAACGUGUUUUGUUGAUACGUUCUCUGAUAAAAUGCUGGUGUUAACAACAGAUGAAUUUUCGGAAUAUUUUGGUUGAGAAACAUUUAUUUCAAAACAACCUUCGAUAACAUUUUAAAAGUGAAUAUCUUCAAUAAGUUUAAGAAAAUGUAAUCAUGAUUUCUAUGCUUUCAUUUUAAUGUUGUAAUGCUUGGGUUAUGUUUAGCAUGUAGUAAAUCAAUAAAUAGAUUCUCAGAAUUCAUUAAGGCGGUCAUCAAAAAAUAGAUCAUUUUUAAUUAAUUGCUUUCUUAAUUUGAAAUCGUUUUAUAGAUCCAGCAGUUAAAAAAAGUAGUUGUUCGGCUGUUGUUUAAGCGAACUUGUAACUUUAAAAGUGUUUUUCUCAAAAACUUUUUUUUCAAUCUUUCUUUCAUAAAAUAUCAAAAACGGUUUGACCGAAUGACUUGAAAUUUAUAAGGAACACUCAGCACCGCAAGCAAUGAUCCAUCAAAAAUAUACGAAAUUUUUGUAGCAAAAAACAAAAAAGAACGUAAAAUACGAAACUUGUUUUCAAUGUCCACCAAAAGUCCUCUUUUGGAUAUAUUCAUUUGAUAAUAGUCCAUCCCGUGUAUUUAGACUUACAGAUUUAAACGCUGCUAUUCUUUUUUUUGUUUCGGAUAGUAAGGAAGAAGUGUGAAAUUCUCAGGAAGACCACGCAAACCAGAAGUUGAAAUCAGGAUGAAGUCCACAUGUUUUAUAACACAAAAACGGUGAUCGAGAUAGAUACACACGCGUGCAUAUCUGGAUACGGUUCAGUGUUGCUUCAAAAGAAUCGUGUCGAGCAAGUGACCAUCACGUUCAAUGCAUAAUAAGUGCCUUAUAGCAUUUGGUUUUUGUUCGUGGAGAGAUAACUUUACUUCUCAAUUGCCUACUCAGUCCAAAGUAGCACCUGUUGGCAAGAGUUAUUCUUUGCUGUAUUGUAAGGCUGACAUUGUAGCUGGUGUUGAUGCUGGUUCCAAGAUAGUCAAAACUAUCCACAACUUCAAAGUUAUAACUGUCAACAGUGACGUGAGAGCCAAACCGCAAGUGCAAUGACUGUUUGUUUGAUGACAGGAGAUAUUUCGUCUUGCCCUCGUCCACUGCCAGCCCCAUUUGCUUUGCUUCCUUGUCCAGUCUGGAGAAAGCAGAACUAACGGCGCGGGUGCUGAGGCCGAUGAUAUCAAUAUCAUCGGCAACCGCCUCCAGCUGUACAAUCUUAUCGAAGAUUGCAUCUGCUCGAUUAAGUUCUGCGGCUUGAAUUUUUUUCUCCAGCAGCAGGUUGAAGAUGUCGCACAAUAGGCUCGGAGAGGUCCUUCCCGAUGCUGAUGGAACUUUUAGUAUUGCUCAACGUUAGUUUACACAGGAUCUACUCGUAUUUCAGUUUCAUUAAACAUUUCCUCAAAUGUUUUAUCUUUCAUUAGUUUUCUUAUUUGCGGACCUUUCAAAUAUUCCCUCUUCAAUUUUUAUUUCACUGACUCUUGGAAAUUUUUGUCUUAGACACCCAAGAACUCUCUUCCAUUUCUGUCUAUUGCCUUAACAAAAUUCUUCAUUAAACCCAAUUUAAUACCUUUUUGGGAUCAACUAGAAAUUCACUGGUAACAUUUUUUGUCCCGGAGUGAGUGCCUGACAUACUGGCUACUGCUUCUGUACAUAAACCUGACAGUCUCUCGCACGGCUGUCCCAUUCGCAAAGGAAGCAACAAUAUUUCGUAUAUCCCAGAUGCAUUCCAAGAAGAAGGGCUAUUACUUUUAAGUCUCCACAUAUUUCCCAACCAUACUCAUGAUAACGGAUGUGCUCUAAAAGAACUCUCAUAUUCUCAUAUGAACCGCAUGAGCUAAGGGCAGAGAUGGAUAUUUGUUUCCGUUAUGAACCAAUAUAGUAUAGUAUAUAAAGUAUAGGUUGUCAUUUCCUUUGCGGCUUCUGUAACAUCACUUGAAGAGCUAGUCGAUUCUAGUUCUUUAUCGAUACCCCAAGAUUCUGGGGCUUUUGAAAUAGGAAGUAGUUAACUUUGUUUUACAGAUCUUAAAACUGAUGGUAAAUUAUAUUACUUAACGUAUGUCUAGACUUCGGUCCAAUAACUUUAAUAUUCGUGAGGCAAAAAUAGCAGUCUGUAACAUGGUAUUUAGGUUCUCAUCAAACCUUUGGCACUGCAAAGGGCAUUUUACGACUUGAACCUUUUAACGAAGCUGUUAACAAUAUUACAAAAGUUUUACAACAGAUAUGAGAGGCCCAUGUUUUUAUCUUGGUCCCCAACUUUAACACCAAAAUACAAUUGGUAAGCUUUUGGCGCAAGCGGAGUAAAAUUACGUUUUUGUGAUUUAAAAGUUAGUUCUCCGCAAUCAUAACAAAACUGUUGCACUAUUUAGGCACUGCCUAGGCAUUGUACCUAAAAAUCUUAAACACAGUAGUUUCAAAAACGUAAAAGAAUGUGAACUCAAAAACGUUUUGCUAUCCAGACAUAGAACACGUAACCGAUUCGGACACCUUUAGUCUACUGAAAAAUUUUGUAAACUAAAAUGAUCGUAAAAUACGAUGUUUACUUUAAACAAGCAUGCAGAACCGGUCUAAACCGGAUAAAUCCCUGAUCGUAUGAAAAUAUAAAAUGAUGCAAUAUAUUUAAAUUUUAUGUAUUGUAAAAUCUAAAGCCGCAGGUUACUCGAACCUGUUAACAAUGUUACACAAGUUUUACAACAGAUAUGAGGGGCCCACGAAAACUCGGAAUCGUUAUUAGAAAUAAAAAGCCAAAAUCUCAAAAAUUUUUGGACUCGCCUCCAAGCGGCUCAUGACGCCAUAGUAGAUUCUGACAAUUCAGAUCUACCACAAAAUUUUAAAUCAUCAUUUUUGAAAACUGCUUAGACCAAUAUGAGGAAACAUGAUCUCCGAUCAAUUAAAGCUAAUUAAAGCAACUGCACCUACUCCCUACAGUAGAGUAGAGCUGCCACAAAUAGACAGUCAAGAGGCAAGUUCAGGCAUCCACCUCGAGGUGCCCGCAUGUGACACAGAAACAUUUUACGGAGGUUAUGAAGAAUGGCCGUCCUUCCGGGACAUGUUCACGGCCGUGUACAUAAACCAUCCCCAAUUAUCACAAUCGCAAAAAUUGUAUCACCUCAGAUACAAAACGAAAGGUCAGGCAGGCGUAAUAGUCAAACAGUUCGCUCUCAAUGACGAAAAUUUUAAUUUUGCUUGGGAAGCUCUAAAAGCACGUUACGAAAACAAAAGAAUAUUGGUCGACAAGCAAGUAACGACACUAUUAAACUUGCCUAAAAUCAAGAAAGAAACAAGUGAAGAAUUUGUAAGACUACAAUCCACUGUUUCUAAUUGUUUGUCGAUUCUGUCGAUACAAAAUAUUCCCACAGACAGCUGGGACCCAAUUCUGGUAAACAUUUGCACCGCCGCAUUACCAGAAAACUCGUUACUUCUAUGGGAGCAAUCGCUCUCAUCACGAAAAAAGUGCCCAACGUGGCAACAAAUGAAAGAUUUUCUCACCACCCAAUAUGAAAUUGCGGAAAGGUUAGGAGAAAAAAUAAUAAAAAAAAAGAACAUUAAACACGACCAAAAAUGGAGGCUUAAAUAGACCAAGCUAGAAGCAACAAAAAUUUAAACAAAAGCUUUUACAAAUUACAAACGUUCACAUCAGAACAAAGAAAACAUACGUCAUGCGAACUAUGUACAGGAGAGCAUAAACUCAAAACUUGCGCCAGGUUUAAAAACUUGAAAGUAAACGAACGGAAUAAAUUUGUCAGGUCAAAGAGACUUUGCACAAAUUGUCUGUCACAUGCGCAUAGAUAUACAAAUUGCAAAAGUAAAUUUAAUUGCUUACAUUGUCACAAAAGACACCAUUUGCUGUUUCACUACAGCACAUUUCCUAGCUCACCUCAAAAGAGCGCAUGCAAUAGCACAAAAAGAACUACAGACUUAGUUGCAAAAGCAAAUCCCGAAAAUUGCCAAGAAGCACCAUGCUGCUCAAAGGCAUUAAAAACGCAAACGCUACACAGCGGAAAUAAAAACAGGGUACUACUACCCACAGCAGUUGUCUCCAUCGAACACCGAGGAGAACUGUUCAAACUCAGAGCCUUAAUAGACCAAGGAUCACAACGAUCAUUCAUAGCGUCUAAGGCACAAAAUAAACUAAAAUUGUCAACCAAACAAUCAAAUUUUGAAAUUACGGGAAUGGGCGGCAGAGUAAUCCAAAACUCGGAUAAAAUCUGUCCCAUUGCCCUAAUUUCCCCCCAAGCGGAUAAGCGAAUUAAAGCAGAAGCAGGAAAAAAGGACAGAUUUUUAUAUAUAAGUAAAAUGUAGGGAUUUUUUGACAAAGCAAAAUCGAAAUUUCUAUGUAAUUUUUUUUCGGUCAAAAUGCAAAUAAGUCUAUUUGGCAACUUUUUAUCAAGAAUAUGUUCGAAUGCCAGCAUUAAAUCGGUUUCAACUUCACGUUGUCAAAGGCAGCACUCUGAAAAAGUAUUUGUAUGGCAGCAUGCUGGCGUCGCAUAUAAUUCGUUUGCUCUUCGCUUUUAAUUUGAUUGCUGACUUUAUGUGAGAAAUGAGUUCUUCAACAGAAUCGGACGAGAGUAUUGGAAAGAGCCGCAAAUAUCGCAAACAAAAGUUUACAAAUAAGUGGCUAGGAGACGAAAGAUUCAAGGGUUGGUUACAAGCUUUGGCCGGUGAGUCGUUUAAAUGCAAAUGCGCUGCCUGCAACAAAAUUUUAAAUUGCGGCAAGUCUGAUUUAUUGAAACGCGCAGAAACAAAAGCACACCAGAAAAUUGUGAAAGCCAUAAGCAAAACGAGCAAAUUGAAUACUUUUUUUAAGAGAAACGUAAAUGCAGAAGGGGAUGUAGAUAAAAAAAAUCGCAUCUAAAAAAAAUGACAGCGUCUGAACUCUACGAACAUCAUUAAUAUUUUUUUUUGCACUGUGGUUACAUCAUGCUUAAAGUAUAUGUUUACGUGUUUUUUGUUUGUUUAGUUUUUUUAAACCAAAUAAAUUAAUGUCGCCUUAGUUAACCAUCCAUUUGAUUGCUAGUCUAAUUUAAAACAUGAAAUGUAUUUAAAUUAAAUAAAUUUUUUUCUUUAUUUAUUUGUAUGUAUAUAUAUAUAUAUAUAAAUUUAUGUGUACACAUACAAGGCAAUGGUGCACAUAUUAUAUUUUUAUGUAUUAUACAUAUUUAAUAUUAUAAUAAAUGUC
Long non-coding RNA from Bactrocera dorsalis (oriental fruit fly), 6952 nucleotides. RefSeq lists it as uncharacterized. The transcript has 4 exons. NCBI's taxonomy places the organism in Eukaryota, Metazoa, Arthropoda, Insecta, Diptera, Tephritidae. The record is from RefSeq and is a predicted model, not a curated record.